This 253-nucleotide ribosomal RNA is filed under the name uncultured bacterium. Its description in RNAcentral is "partial 16S ribosomal RNA". It matches the Rfam family "Bacterial small subunit ribosomal RNA", at positions 524 to 776 of the family's 1533-position model. The record is from RNAcentral.
UACGGAGGAUGCAAGCGUUAUCCGGAUUCAUUGGGUUUAAAGGGUGCGUAGGCGGGACGGUAAGUCAGGGGUGAAAGCCAGCAGCUCAACUGUUGAAUUGCCUUUGAUACUGCCGUUCUUGAGUGUGGAUGAAGUGGGCGGAAUUUGGCAUGUAGCGGUGAAAUGCGUAGAUAUGCCAAAGAACACCGAUUGCGAAGGCAGCUCACUAAGCCAUUACUGACGCUGAGGCACGAAAGCGUGGGGAGCAAACAGG